Molecule: ribosomal RNA, 443 nt
Filed under: uncultured bacterium
Lineage: Bacteria
Description: partial 16S ribosomal RNA
Rfam family: Bacterial small subunit ribosomal RNA
Source: RNAcentral
CCUACGGGAGGCAGCAGUGGGGAAUAUUGGGCAAUGGGCGCAAGCCUGACCCAGCAACGUCGCGUGAAGGAAGAAGGCCCUCGGGUUGUAAACUUUUUUUGUCAGGGACGAAGAAAGUGACGCUACCUGACGUAUAAGCAACGGCUAAAUACGUGACAGCAGCUGCGGUAAUACGUAGGGGGCAGGCGUUAUGCGGGGUGAUGGGGUGUAAAGGGUGUGUAGGGGGGACUGCAAGUGAGGUGGGAAAUUCCAGGGCCCAACCCUGGAACUGCAUUUGAAACUGUAGUUCUUGAGUGAUGGAGAGGCAGGCGGAAUUCGGGGUGUAGCGGUGAAAUGCGUAGAUAUACGGAGGAACACCGGUUGCGAAGGCGGCCUACUGGACAUUAACUGACGCUGAGGCGCGAAAGCGUGGGGAGCAAACAGGAUUAGAUACCCCUGUAGUC